CCUACGGGCGGCAGCAGUGAGGAAUAUUGGUCAAUGGACGAGAGUCUGAACCAGCCAAGUAGCGUGAAGGAUGACUGCCCUAUGGGUUGUAAACUUCUUUUGUAUGGGAAUAAAAUGUUCCACGUGUGGUGUUAUGUAGGUACCAUAGGAAUAAGGAUCGGCUAACUCCGUGCCAGCAGCCGCGGUAAUACGGAGGAUCCGAGCGUUAUCCGGAUUUAUUGGGGUUAAAGGGUGCGUAGGUGGAUUGUUAAGUCAGUUGUGAAAGUUUGCGGCUCAACCGCAAAAUUGCAGUUGAAACUGGCAGUCUUGAGUACAGGAGAGGUGGGCGGAAUUCGUGGUGUAGCGGUGAAAUGCUUAGAUAUCACGCAGAACCCCGAUUGCGAAGGCAGCUUACUGGAUUGCAACUGACACUGAGGCACGAAAGUGUGGGUAUCAAACAGGAUUAGAUACCCUGGUAGUC
This 460-nucleotide ribosomal RNA is filed under the name uncultured bacterium. Its description in RNAcentral is "partial 16S ribosomal RNA". It matches the Rfam family "Bacterial small subunit ribosomal RNA", at positions 338 to 795 of the family's 1533-position model. The record is from RNAcentral.